CCUACGGGAGGCAGCAGUGGGGAAUAUUGCACAAUGGGCGAAAGCCUGCCGCAGCGACGCCGCGUGAGGGAUGAAGGUCUUCGGCUCGUAAACCUCUGUCAGCCGCGCAGAACGGUCACUGUGCUAAUCAACAGUGAAUUGCCGGUACCUUCACAGGAAGCACCGGCUAACUCCGUGCCAGCAGCCGCGGUAAUACGGAGGGUGCGAGCGUUAAUCGGAAUUACUGGGCGUAAAGCGCUCGUAGGCGGUAUGUCAAGUCAAGGGGGAAAUCCCCGGGCUCAACGUGGGAACUGCCUUAGAAACUGGCAAACUGGAGUGUGUGAGAGGAUAGUGGAAUGCCAGGUGUAGGAGUGAAAUCCGUAGAUAUCUGGAGGAACAUCAGUGGCGAAGGCGACUAUCUGGCACAUAACUGACGCUGAGGAGCGAAAGCGUGGGUAGCAAACAGGAUUAGAUACCCUAGUAGUC
Molecule: ribosomal RNA, 465 nt
Filed under: uncultured bacterium
Lineage: Bacteria
Description: partial 16S ribosomal RNA
Rfam family: Bacterial small subunit ribosomal RNA
Source: RNAcentral